This 254-nucleotide ribosomal RNA is filed under the name uncultured bacterium. RNAcentral's name for it is "partial 16S ribosomal RNA". It matches the Rfam family "Bacterial small subunit ribosomal RNA", at positions 524 to 776 of the family's 1533-position model. The record is from RNAcentral.
CACGUAGGGUGCGAGCGUUGUCCGGAAUUAUUGGGCGUAAAGAGCUCGUAGGCGGUGUGUCGCGUCGGCCGUGAAAACCUGCAGCUUAACUGUGGGCUUGCGGUCGAUACGGGCAUCACUGGAGUUCGGCAGGGGAGACUGGAAUUCCUGGUGUAGCGGUGAAAUGCGCAGAUAUCAGGAGGAACACCGGUGGCGAAGGCGGGUCUCUGGGCCGUUACUGACGCUGAGGAGCGAAAGCGUGGGGAGCGAACAGG